UUUUGUUUCCGUGAAUAAAAAUAGCGUGACUAUCAUGUUCAAUUUACAACUUCCUUUUAGACCUAUAAAGAAACAGCAUAUAAUGGAAUUCACAGAAAUUGAAACAAAUUCACGAAAAAGGAGUUUCAACGAACAAAGACAUGAUCCGUCUUCAACUAAAUAUCGCCGAACGUACGACUCACUGUGCCUCAGUAUACAAAGUUCCUGUAUAUUUCUAGACUUUAACCAAAC
This is a long non-coding RNA of Mytilus californianus (California mussel), 231 nucleotides long. RefSeq lists it as uncharacterized. Lineage: Eukaryota; Metazoa; Mollusca; Bivalvia; Mytilida; Mytilidae. The record is from RefSeq and is a predicted model, not a curated record. The transcript has 3 exons.